RNAcentral lists this ribosomal RNA (254 nucleotides) under uncultured bacterium. Its description in RNAcentral is "partial 16S ribosomal RNA". It matches the Rfam family "Bacterial small subunit ribosomal RNA", at positions 524 to 776 of the family's 1533-position model. The record is from RNAcentral.
UACGGGGGAUCCAAGCGUUAUCCGGAAUUACUGGGCGUAAAGAGUUGCGUAGGUGGCGUCGUAAGUCGGUAGUGAAAGCGUGUGGCUCAACCACAUACACAUUAUCGAAACUGCGAAGCUAGAGGACGAGAGAGGUACCUGGAAUUCCUAGUGUAGGAGUGAAAUCCGUAGAUAUUAGGAGGAACACCGAUGGCGUAGGCAGGGUACUGGCUCGUUCCUGACACUGAGGCACGAAAGCGUGGGGAGCAAACGGG